GAGAUCCGAAAAAAAAAAAAAAAUCCGCCUCCGAAGUGAUGAUUGGCUCACUGGUAUCCACAUCCCACCCCAGGGAUGCCUCCUGGUACCUUUCCGUGUAGGAAAAUGAUUUUGUCCCGCGCAGACUCCCUCAGCACUUUCUGCAGUCUGAAGCCGGAGAACGGUUUCCUGGAUCCAUUCCUCAGCUUCUGAGAAUAUACAAAAAGAGGUUGUAAACUGUAUUCAAGACUAGUAAAAAAAAAUAUCCUGGAGGACAAAUGGCAAUGACAAAA
Long non-coding RNA from Callithrix jacchus (white-tufted-ear marmoset), 272 nucleotides. RefSeq lists it as uncharacterized. NCBI's taxonomy places the organism in Eukaryota, Metazoa, Chordata, Mammalia, Primates, Cebidae. The record is from RefSeq and is a predicted model, not a curated record.